Molecule: ribosomal RNA, 505 nt
Filed under: uncultured beta proteobacterium
Lineage: Bacteria; Pseudomonadati; Pseudomonadota; Betaproteobacteria
Description: bacterial SSU rRNA
Rfam family: Bacterial small subunit ribosomal RNA
Source: RNAcentral
GUCGGAUUAGCUAGUUGGUGGGGUAAAGGCCUACCAAGGCGACGAUCCGUAGCUGGUCUGAGAGGAUGAUCAGCCACACUGGGACUGAGACACGGCCCAGACUCCUACGGGAGGCAGCAGUGGGGAAUUUUGGACAAUGGGGUCAACCCUGAUCCAGCCAUUCCGCGUGAGUGAAGAAGGCCUUCGGGUUGUAAAGCUCUUUCGGACGGAACGAAACGGUCAGGACCAAUACUUCUGACUAAUGACGGUACCGUAAGAAGAAGCACCGGCUAACUACGUGCCAGCGGCCGCGGUAAUACGUAGGGUGCGAGCGUUAAUCGGAAUUACUGGGCGUAAAGCGUGCGCAGGCGGUUAUUUAAGACAGGUGUGAAAUCCCCGGGCUUAACCUGGGAAUUGCGCUUGUGACUGGAUAGCUAGAGUGCGGCAGAGGGGGGUGGAAUUCCACGUGUAGCAGUGAAAUGCGUAGAGAUGUGGAGGAACACCGAUGGCGAAGGCAGCCCCCUGG